AUUGAACGCUGGCGGCAGGCCUAACACAUGCAAGUCGAACGAGCGGCGGACGGGUGAGUAAUGUCUGGGGAUCUGCCUGAUGGCGGGGGAUAACUACUGGAAACGGUAGCUAAUACCGCAUACCAUCAGAUGAACCCAUAUGGGAUUAGCUUGUAGGUGAGGUAACGGCUCACCUAGGCGACGAUCCCUAGCUGGUCUGAGAGGAUGACCAGCCACACGGGGACUGAGACACGGCCCAGACUCCUCCGGGAGGCAGCAGUGGGGAAUAUUGCACAAUGGGGGCGAGCCUGAUGCAGCCAUGCCGGGUGUAUGAAGAAGGCCUUCGGGUUGUAAAGUACUUUCAGCGGGGAGGCGUUACCGGCAGAAGAAGCACCGGCUAACUCCGUGCCAGCCGCCGCGGUAAUUC
Molecule: ribosomal RNA, 406 nt
Filed under: uncultured bacterium
Lineage: Bacteria
Description: partial 16S ribosomal RNA
Rfam family: Bacterial small subunit ribosomal RNA
Source: RNAcentral